UGCAGAAUCCCGUGAACCAUCGAGUCUUUGAACGCAAGUUGCGCCCGAGACCAUCCGGUCGAGGGCACGCCUGCCUGGGCGUCACGC
This 87-nucleotide ribosomal RNA is filed under the name Sisyrinchium sp. Ingram 18. RNAcentral describes it as "partial 5.8S ribosomal RNA". It matches the Rfam family "5.8S ribosomal RNA", at positions 73 to 154 of the family's 154-position model. Rfam says of the family: 5.8S ribosomal RNA (5.8S rRNA) is a component of the large subunit of the eukaryotic ribosome. It is transcribed by RNA polymerase I as part of the 45S precursor that also contains 18S and 28S rRNA. Functionally, it is thought that 5.8S rRNA may be involved in ribosome translocation. Lineage: Eukaryota; Viridiplantae; Streptophyta; Magnoliopsida; Asparagales; Iridaceae. The record is from RNAcentral.